RNAcentral lists this ribosomal RNA (292 nucleotides) under uncultured bacterium. RNAcentral's name for it is "partial 16S ribosomal RNA". The record is from RNAcentral.
GGACUACUAGGGUUUCUAAUCCUGUUUGCUCCCCUUGCUCUCGCGCCUCAGCGUCAGGCAUAAGCUAGAGAACCGCUUUCGCCACCGGUGUUCUUCCACAUAUCUACGCAUUUCACCGCUACACGUGGAAUUCCGUUCUCUCCGCCAAUCCUCGAGAUCUAUAGUUUCAAAUGCAGCUCCGAAGUUGAGCCUCGGAAUUUCACAUCUGACUUAUACAUCCGCCUACGCGCCCUUUACGCCCAAUAAUUCCGAUUAAUGCUUGCACCCUCCGUAUUACCGCGGCUGCUGGCAC